UUUUCUGUCUCUUUCUCUUUUUUCCGCAUUUUUUUUUUCAUAUUUUUUGUUUUCAUGUAUCUUCUGCCACCCAAGUUGUGAGAAGACACAGUGGAAGAACAUCGAAAAGACGAUGACACGAUUAAUUAUUUGUGAUGAAUUGCGGACA
Molecule: non-coding RNA, 148 nt
Organism: Caenorhabditis elegans
Lineage: Eukaryota; Metazoa; Nematoda; Chromadorea; Rhabditida; Rhabditidae
Source: Ensembl